Long non-coding RNA from Gallus gallus (chicken), 873 nucleotides. Lineage: Eukaryota; Metazoa; Chordata; Aves; Galliformes; Phasianidae. The record is from Ensembl.
GUGGACUGGGAAAGGGAAGGGGGAAAUUAAUGAUUACACAGUAAAUCAAAAAGCUAGUUUUUAGGGUGAAUGAAAGGCUGUGUUACAACUCUGUCUAUACAAACCAGUGGAGGCAGAGAUUGGUUUGUUCGGUGUUUCGCUCCCCACAGUUCCCAAAAGCAAGCCUCUCUGGGGAAGAGCUGUUAGACAAAGGACAUGGGUUGAUCCUAUUUCAGCACGGAUUUCUCUGAAAAUCUCUGCAGCAGACAGAGGAAAAACAUAUGUCCUAAAUGUCUCUCCAAAGGCCUCAGCUGCAACUCUCAAGUCAAAGGUAAUGAUGGUAUUUGGAAUCUGCAAGAUAACAGUGUAACAGGAUCUGUCAGCUGGACAUGGAGGAGCAAUCCUUGUAAGAAACACAUUCUGUCUGAACACAAUCCCAUUUCAUACUUGUGUUCCCAUGAGUCUCAUGUGGACAAUUCAUAAGGUACUGCGGGAUUCUGGGGUAUUUAUUACAAAAUACAUAUAUACAUAUAUUUGAUCCAUCAAGACUUACAUAUAUGAAAUUCAUAUUUCCUUAUGACUGUUCCUUUGUUUUAUCUAUUGAAGCACUACAAGGAAUGUUUCUCUGUUUUUGAUGUCUCACAUACCUAUUAGUGCAAAGUAAGCUGAUGAAAGCACAGGCACAUGGAGAUGGACAAUUCUGAAUUAAUUCUACUAGAUCUCACCUACCAUUGGCUUUACAUGGUACAAAUAUCUACUCUCUAGCGUUAUGUAACUUGUAGUAUAACAAUUUGCACUUUGUAGAAGGUUUUGCUUAUCACAUGCAUUGUGGACAGGAACUACUUAAUUUUCAUGAGAAUUUCUUGAAGACAACUGUGCUAAGAGGCAGAGGGA